RNAcentral lists this ribosomal RNA (732 nucleotides) under uncultured bacterium. RNAcentral's name for it is "bacterial SSU rRNA". It matches the Rfam family "Bacterial small subunit ribosomal RNA", at positions 59 to 802 of the family's 1533-position model. The record is from RNAcentral.
CAGUCGAACGGACUCAUAUUGAAACCUAGUGAUUUAUGAGUUAGUGGCGGACGGGUGAGUAACGCGUGGAUAACCUGCCGUAUACCGGGGGAUAACACUUAGAAAUAGGUGCUAAUACCGCAUAAGCGCACGGCUCCGCAUGGGGCAGUGUGAAAAACUCCGGUGGUAUACGAUGGAUCCGCGUCUGAUUAGCUAGUUGGCGGGGUAACGGCCCACCAAGGCAGCGAUCAGUAGCCGGCCUGAGAGGGUGGACGGCCACAUUGGGACUGAGACACGGCCCAAACUCCUACGGGAGGCAGCAGUGGGGAAUAUUGCACAAUGGGGGAAACCCUGAUGCAGCGACGCCGCGUGAGUGAAGAAGUAUCUCGGUACGUAAAGCUCUAUCAGCAGGGAAGAAAAUGACGGUACCUGACUAAGAAGCCCCGGCUAACUACGUGCCAGCAGCCGCGGUAAUACGUAGGGGGCAAGCGUUAUCCGGAUUUACUGGGUGUAAAGGGAGCGUAGACGGCAGCACAAGUCUGGAGUGAAAUCCCGGGGCUUAACCCCGGAACUGCUUUGGAAACUGUGCGGCUGGAGUGCAGGAGGGGUAAGCGGAAUUCCUAGUGUAGCGGUGAAAUGCGUAGAUAUUAGGAGGAACACCGGUGGCGAAGGCGGCUUACUGGACUGUAACUGACGUUGAGGCUCGAAAGCGUGGGGAGCAAACAGGAUUAGAUACCCUGGUAGUCCACGCCG